This is a long non-coding RNA of Phragmites australis (common reed), 1540 nucleotides long. RefSeq lists it as uncharacterized. The transcript has 3 exons. Lineage: Eukaryota; Viridiplantae; Streptophyta; Magnoliopsida; Poales; Poaceae. The record is from RefSeq and is a predicted model, not a curated record.
CUGGAUUUUCAGAAAAAAAAAGAGAGAGUUGACCAAAUCUUGACCUUUUAAUCUGUUGCUCGGAUGACCGAUCGGAGAUCGCGGUUGUGUUCAUCUCGUCGAGACGAACCCAUUUUGCUAUUCAUAUGUCCGUUCCGGGCACUCUGGGACCCGUAGCGAGCCUAAUAAACUUAGACCGUUCGUUGUUUUGAAAAAAAAAUAUAUAUAAAAAAAAGAGAGGAUAAGUGCUGGAUGGAUCGGUCCUCAACCCGAUCCAUCCAGACUCUUCCCCGUGUGCGGUCUCUCUCUCGAACUCUCUCUCUCGCGCGAACUCUCUUUCCUGCCGGGUUUAGCCGCCGGCCGCCGCAGCCCGCCGCUGCAGCCCGCCGACUGCCGUGCCCCGACCGCCGCCGCCGCGCCCCCUGCUGCGUCGUCGGCGCUGCCGCUGCGCUGCCGUCCGCGCGUUCGUCGGCCGCCGCCGCUGCUGCACACGCCGCCGGCCGCGCCCACCGGCCACCGCCAGCCCCGCCACCGGCGCCUCCCCCCCUCUCUCCCUCGGUGUGUCGCCAAAGCAACCCAGCGACGCAGAGCAGAGAAGCCAGGAAAAAAGAGAAGGAAGAAAGAGAAGAAAAAAAAUGAAAGAAAGGAAAAAAAGAGAGAAAAAGGAAAAAAAAAGAAGGGGAAAAGUUGGAAAUUUUCGGAAUUUCGUCGGAUUCGUCGUCAAACUUUCGAAGGCGGAUUUUCGGUGGUACCUCUUCUGGGCGGCCGUGAUUUUGCUUUUGAUUCGUCGCUUUUGGUGAAAGGCAAGUAACUUGGGGGUAUGUUUAACUGCUGACGUGCAUUUUGGGGUUGGAUCUGGGUAGUUGCACACACUAUCUUACCAUGAUGUCGAUAGCUCAACUGGUGAAUACAAGUGGUGUGUCUGAUGGUCUGUCGUUUGCUUCUUUUUUUUUUGUGGUACGACGCUGGUAGCAUCGUGGUGGACUCUAUUUACAGGCUGGUUAUACCUACUCUUGUCUGCCUAUGAUAUUUUCUUUGGUCAGUUAUACCUCUUUAUAGAGGAAAUGCUGUCAAAAUGUCCUAUUUUCAAAUAAAUAGGCUUAGUUGUGAAGUAGGGUGUUACAGCUUGGUAUCAGAGCCUAGGCUUUAGAUCCUAGGUAAUUGAGUGACGAAUCUGACACACUAGCACAAAUAGAAUGGGUAUGGGAUGCAUUGCAUUGCAUACGCCUUGUUUAUCUUUGUUCGCUUAUGUUCGCUAUCUCGAAUAAGUACUAAUGAAGUUACUUGUUCAAUUCUUCACAUGUUCUUUAGUGUUUUAUCGUUGAUAUAUAUUGUUAAGUUGUUGGAGUCAGUUCCGUUGGAAUGGUGGUUUUGUUAGGAUGUUAAAAGGGCUACCUUGGUCAUUAGAACCUGAGAAGCUUCAGAGGAUCAAUGGUAUAGCUGUUGUAUGGCACUGCAGAAGGGUUAAGUGGAGGGCCCCCAUGAUGCUUUUUCUGCAUUGCCAGGUGAGGUUGACCAAGAGUUAGGUUUGCGAUCCAAUUAUCCACAUACAGAGCGAAUA